This 29-nucleotide non-coding RNA is filed under the name Rattus norvegicus (Norway rat). Lineage: Eukaryota; Metazoa; Chordata; Mammalia; Rodentia; Muridae. The record is from RNAcentral.
AGACAAUCAUGUCCAGGAAGGACUUUGUA